Long non-coding RNA from Oryza sativa Japonica Group (Japanese rice), 1460 nucleotides. RefSeq lists it as uncharacterized. The record is from RefSeq and is a predicted model, not a curated record. Lineage: Eukaryota; Viridiplantae; Streptophyta; Magnoliopsida; Poales; Poaceae.
UGCUAGUUUUAUAAAAUUUCAAUGGCAUGGUUACGAAUAUACGAAUUAUAAUGGCAUUUAUCUAAAUAUGCACAUUUGCAAUGGCAUGAAUCCAAUUAACCCUAUUUUAUAUGUGUUUUGAAUUUGCUUCAGCAUAUUGACCUGGAUGUGCAUUUGUGUUCCAUUAAGAUGUUAUAUUGUUUGGUGUUCCAUGAAAAGAGGUGGAUAUGCAAACUGAAUGUGCUUGCUCACUAAACCAUGGUAGCUGCAGUAAUUUCUAUAACUUGAUGUAAGGAAGAAAAAGAUAAAAGAUAUAUAUGUUAAACUUUCGAUGGUCCCAUAAUCACUUGAGCCUAUUUAUUUACAUGUUCUUGCCCUCCUCUCCUAAAUCACAAUGUCUGCUUUGUAAGACAUGAGAUCUCACCAUGUUCUCUGCUACUCCAAUGGGUGAUGAUGGUGAUGGCAAGAGCAUAAGAGAAUGCUGCAAAUAAAGCUAGGCUAGGUGAAUUCUAUGCAAUUUAUUCUACUAUGCAUAUCUUGGGAUGGAAGUAAAUUUGUUGGUCUAUUCAGUUCUUCUUUAGAUUAUUGACUAAACCAAAUAACCAACUUGGUGCCGUUUACUUUACAGGAGGUUUUCAUAUUAGUUUUUUUCCCUCUUAUGCUAUUCUGGUCCUUUAGUUAACAGUACAUGGAAAGUAGUUUCUUUUUGUUGCUAUAUUUACAAGUAAUCAUGAGUUUCAUGUAAUAGCAUCAAUAAUAUAACAUAUGAAAAACAAUUAUAAUCACCAUCAUUCUCAGGAUGACACUUAUGACGUGCAUUCAGUUUAUCAUUAUAUUCAGAGCUUCAUCUUCCUUCCUAUGUACAUAUUGGCCUUGAGUGUGGUAAGAAAGAAAUUGAGAUAUGGCUUGUACUUCUACACCUUCAAGUGAGGUACAGAAGUUUUUUACAUAGUAAAGGAAUUUGCACAACACUGUUCUUUGCACGGUAAUUUCCCCCUACUUUAUUUUCAAGCUUAAGAUGUAUUGUUGUUGCCUAUUCAAAUAUUCACCCUCUUGAGAUUAGUUUAUACUUAUAUAACUUUUCUCAUAUUAAAAAAUGCACAUGAUGCUGAUAUACAAUCAAUGACAUUAUACAUGAUGUGAUUUUUUAAUGAUUAAGGCUAGGUCAUGAAUUUGUGGCCGCUUUGAUGUCAUUUUGUACUUUUUAGAGUGAAGUGGUACCUUUAAUUUCGAUUCUCAAAGUAAAGGAUGCUUUUUUAUAUGUACCUUCAGCAUGAUCAAGCAAUCUUUGAGAUGUAACCUUUGAUUCUGAUUUCCGAAGUAUGAAUCGACGUGCUUGGAUUUUUCUGAUAGUUGUGUCACACUUGUAGUUGAGUGAAUUUGCUGGUUGAAUGGACAAAGGAAGAAAGCUCCGACACCAGAGGAGUUGGCUGAGCUGGAAGCGAGGCGUGAACGUGUCAAGCAAAAUAUUGAAUAACGCA